RNAcentral lists this non-coding RNA (129 nucleotides) under anaerobic digester metagenome. RNAcentral describes it as "TPP". It matches the Rfam family "TPP riboswitch aptamer (THI element)". Rfam says of the family: Vitamin B(1) in its active form thiamin pyrophosphate (TPP) is an essential coenzyme that is synthesised by coupling of pyrimidine and thiazole moieties in bacteria. The previously detected thiamin-regulatory element, thi box was extended, resulting in a new, highly conserved RNA secondary structure, the THI element, which is widely distributed in eubacteria and also occurs in some archaea. The record is from RNAcentral.
CGAUGCCUUGACGGGAGCUCGGAAAAACCGGGCUGAGAGGGGCCCUUGAUCCGAUCGGAAGAGCUGUGGGCCCGCCCGUGGAACCUGAACCGGAUAAUGCCGGCGGAGGAAUGAAGGCUCAUGGGUGAA